CUGUGAGUAAUUCUAAUUUGUUUUGGGUGAAAUAUGGACUUGAAGUCAAUUUACGUUCUAAAUUUUGACAAUUCUGAAAGUUAAAUAAAUAACAUAGCAUUGAAUGCGUGAGCGCAAAUUGUGAUAUCAUUUACAUAUAUAAAAUGGCUGAGAAUAAAUCGUGAAUGAAAUCUGAAGCUUUAUAGAGAUAUGUCCGAGGCCUCUAGGCUAAAGAAAAUUCUACCUUCCACAUAUAUUACCGUGGGGUACAUUAAGUAUUGCCCGCCUAACUUUUUAAUAUCGGAGGAGCAAAGCUAAUAAGGCGUAUGCAUCAGAUUGCCUGCGCGAUAUGGCUAGAAGAACGCAUACCCGACGAUUGGAACCUCGGCACACUAUGUCCCGUACACAAGAUAGGUGACAAGACGGAAUUUGCCAAUAACAGUGUGGCUUAAGACCUGGUCAAUCCACCGUGGACCAGAUAUUCACACUGCGCCAAAUCCUGGAAAAGUACCGAGAAGGACAAAUUAACACCUACCAUGUUUUCGUUGACUACAAAGCCGCCUUCGACAGCUCUAUACAAAGGUAUUUUAAGCCAUGUCUGAGUUUGGUAUUCCAUUGUCAGAAACAGUUAGGAGAAAACACAAGACUUCGAUGAAAGAGCAGACAAUUUAGCGGCGAAGGCCAGAGGUAAGCCGUCAAUAAACUUUGUUAACUUGAAGCCUUUCGAUACGACGCAGCUUGAAUUAAGGUCGUGAGCAACGAACGCGUGUAAAACUGUGGAACAGCGAAACCUUUGAGGAUAUCCCGAUCGUGAGAAGAAGAGGCUGUUUCUGAAAGGAAGCAAGAAGGAGGAUAGUAUAUCGAACUCACUUAUGCAAAAUAGGUGCGGCGCAUCGAUGAGACGUUGGAGCAUUUUGUAUGUCAUUGCCCGGUAUACGCCACUAACAGACACCGGCACUUAGUUGGAGAUAAAAUGCAAGACAUAAACCAACUUAGGGGCAUGGUGUGGAAAACAAUUAGGGAUUUUUUGAAAUCCUUCCUUAGUCAGCAUCCGUUAUAGGCUAUUUAUGGUGGUCUACCAAAGGAGUGGUGAUAAAAUGCCACCCUGUGCCACUUUCUCCCUCAUAUUUAUAUUAUGCGACCCACAGAUUAUCCAACUGUUCUUUGGCAUAUGGUUUAUCCAGUCUCCAUGGACCAAGUCUACCUGAUAUUGGUCCAAGGAUUGGAUCAGUGUGUCCGUUUCCUAUUUAAAUUUCUUGGUGAAUCUUAACGAGCAAACGUUCCGUUCGUAUAAGUUGUGAAUGAAUGAAAAUAGUCUGUGACACUGGAAAUUCUGGGGGUUUUCAUGGUGCUGCAAUGUCUGGUGUGGACUUUGAGAAUUUUCCAAGGUGCAUGCGCAUAACGGAGGAAAACAAUUCUAUAUACGACUGUGCAAUGAAAUUUGUAUGAUAAUGACACCUAUGCAGGACAAGGAAGUUCUGGAUAAAUUACUACAACAGGCUAUGUUCAACAUCUGCCGUCGGGAUUGCCAUGAUAUGUUUUUCACAAAUCCGUGUGGCCACCUGCAGAUAUACCUCUAUUAUGAAUGCCAUAAUAAAAAUGAAAC
Stomoxys calcitrans (stable fly) is the source of this 1585-nucleotide long non-coding RNA. RefSeq lists it as uncharacterized. The transcript is spliced from 6 exons. Lineage: Eukaryota; Metazoa; Arthropoda; Insecta; Diptera; Muscidae. The record is from RefSeq and is a predicted model, not a curated record.